AGUAAUGUCUGGGAAACUGCCUGAUGGAGGGGGAUAACUACUGGAAACGGUAGCUAAUACCGCAUAACGUCGCAAGACCAAAGAGGGGGACCUUAGGGCCUCUUGCCAUCGGAUGUGCCCAGAUGGGAUUAGCUAGUAGAUGGGGUAACGGCUCACCUAGGCGACGAUCCCUAGCUGGUCUGAGAGGAUGACCAGCCACACUGGAACUGAGACACAGUCCAG
RNAcentral lists this ribosomal RNA (222 nucleotides) under uncultured bacterium. RNAcentral describes it as "partial 16S ribosomal RNA". It matches the Rfam family "Bacterial small subunit ribosomal RNA", at positions 109 to 334 of the family's 1533-position model. The record is from RNAcentral.